CGUGUUGGGAAUUAUUAAAGGAUAGAUCGAUUUAAGAAACAUUUCGUUACGUGAAAUUUUUGGACUGAAACACGAGUGUGUGACAGGAAACUUAUAAAUUUUCUUAGCGACCAAAAAAGACAUUAAAUUUAAUUAUAAAAAUGACUUCAUACUAUCGCGUAAGGAACGCAUCUAUGCCAACAAAAUACAUCGUACAUCCUCAUUAUGCUGACGAAAAUGAAGCUCAAAUUGACUAUCAACCGUACCGAACAACACCACUCAUUUUACCAGGAGCCAAAGUUAAGAAGGACUGUACGCCAACAGAAUCUUAUCUCCGACACCACCCGAAUCCAGCAAUGCGCGGACCAGUGCAUCACAGCACGGAUGAUAUGCUAAUGAAACAAAGGGUUGCCGAUACAGUAUUGCAUCGUGUUGUGGGAGAAGACUCGAGAAGUGGAAAGGUGCAACACAAGCAAUUCAACUCUCCCAUCGGAUUGUAUUCGGACAGUAACAUUGAAAAUACAAUCAGGCAAACAGUGCCAACAUCAUCAGGUUCAACACCAAUUUUCAUUGAUUUAUCUUUUCUGCAACAAAAACACAAAAUCUUGGAGCAACAACAACAACUGCAUCAACAACAGCGUUAUUCCAAUAAAUAUCCCAGCUAUCAACCACAAAGUUUUAAUCGACCCUCAUCAUCAUCGAAUGAUUUUAACAAUAAUAACACUUACUACCCCCCGAACCUACAAAAUCCAACAUGGCGGAAUUAAUUUGUUUCUUGUUUAUUGUGUCUUUUAUCGUUAUUGGUUAUCCCAUUAUGUUAUACUUCAAUUUGAAACAAGCAAAAUACUGAACGAUUGCAAUUUUUUUUCAUGGUUUUUGUGUUCUUUUUUCCUAAUAAUUUUCUAAUUUUUCAUUCUUUUUUUCUCAAAAUUAAUUCUAGCAACAACGAAAAUUUUGGUUUGCUUUUUUAAUUCUGAAAUUAUUUUUAGAUUGAACGUUUAACGGUCUUAAUUUUUGAAUAGAGUGGGGUCGACUAAUUUUCACCCUACUUUCAACAAAUCGGACUCAGAUUAGCACUAUUGAAAAUUUUACAAAAAUCGUACGGUAAACCAUCCAAAAUUUUUAAUUUGCCUCGAGCGUAACGAAAAUCUCUAAAGCUUCGACACGAACAAGUCAAACUAAUUUCAUUUACGGUAUAGUCUUUGUUAUAGCUGCUCUUCAUGGAAUAACAUAAAUGUGCAGUUCGGGUGAAUUUUUCAUUAACAUAUUUAGGCGUGUGGACAGUAUCUCUAUUCUCCCAUAGGUUAUUUUGUCAUCUUUAAAGACCACACUUUAUUCCGGCUAUUUUUUUAAUCUUUUUAUUUAGUAAAGAGGAAGUAAAAGCUCAAUUUUAGCAUGGUAACAGUUUACAUCACAUUUUACGUUGAACUUUAACGGUUAAAGGUUGUGUAAUAAAGUUUGUGGAUUGUGGAAUAUAUGGAAAUCAAACAUAUUUGUAGACAUUGUUACUGUGUUAAAUUUCGAGCCUCCUUAAUAUUUUGCUAUAGCCAUUUCCUAUCUCUAUUUUGCAAUAAAAUUAUUAAUAAAACGUGUGGAUUAGAUGCGGACUAAUUAAUUUCAAUAAAAAACUUGCAAGUUAGCGUCGAUAUUUUCUAAGAUGGUCGUCCUUCGGUCUCUUCGAUUAUGUGGCUGACAAUUGUUGAUUAAUUGAAUUUCACCACAUCUAAUCCAUACAACUCUGAAGUUCCUUAGUUUGAGUAGUCUAACCUAGAAAGCUCUAUCAAUAAAAAGAGACGGCAAGCUAAUACAUUGUCUCAAGGUAAAACCUAAUAAAAUCCUGCACUCAAUGAACAAAGUGUAUCGUUUUCAAACGGUCUCACGAAUCUUAUAAUUUCAACGACCAGUACAAAAAUGGAGAUAAGAUUCUUAAUUCGAUUAUAUACUAUACCGGCGAUGUUCAUCAAUUAGCAUGAUUCUUCCUUUAUUGCCUCGAACGAAGUAGAAAAUGUCUGUUUAAUGUAAGGAAGAAUUCAUCGUUUAUGAACGUCUCCUUUGACUAAUUACUGCAUCUCAUUAACCAUUUUUUUUAAUUCACGUUAAUCAUCCACUGUUCUACCUUCAAAAACAACACACACAAUAAAAAAAACAUCCAAAAUGUCAAAAUUUGUUUAACAUUGUCGAACCUUUUUAUUUAUUUUCCCCCUCUCCAACUACUACUUCUACUACCAAUACUACAAACCAACAACCAUCGCAAAAUACCUUUUGUGUAUCCGUAUCAAUGAACUUAUCAGCUACAAGAAAACUGUUGUCUUCGAUCCAUCCAAAAGCGAAACCUAUCGUGCAUUGCAAGAGGACCAAUACGGAUAUGGAGAACGGGUACAAGAAGUACCGAUACCUGUGCAAACUAGAGUUUAUCAACCAGGCGUCAAUCGCUUAGUACCAGGAAAGAAACCACAAGCGAGCUAUCCACCACCCCAACCUCAACAAUACCACAACCGCUAUUUUUGAAUAGGUCAACUCCAUGGGCGACUCGAACGACACUAUCCACCAGAGCCAUUCAUUCAAACGAUUGAUGUACAGUGUCAUGGGAGAGACCGAUUAUUAGUGAGCUGAUUUUACUGCAGGCAAAAUCAGAUAAAAUCAUUUGUGUAAAUCUCAAAUUAAAAAAAAAACAUUACAACAUUUUUUCCCUUUCGAAUUUAACCCAUUACUCAGUUUAAAUUAGUCAAACAAAAAGUAUAAAAAAAAAUAUUUAAUUGUGUACAUUUAUUGCAAUCGAAAAGUAGGUACAGUGCCUAAAAAUAUUUUAAAUUUUAUUUUAAGCGUGUGCGAAAUGAAAGAAAAAUAAAACUAAAAAAAAAUAAAUUUAUUUUUUGAGAUAUUUAUUUUCAACCCAAACUUUAAAAAAAUAAUUAAAUAAUUUUAGUUAUUUAUAGUUUGUUAAUUGUAUUUGUAAUUUUUUUAAAUUUUUAUUUUCAACAUUUUAUUUCGAUUUGAUUCAGUCAGAUACGAGUUAUAUAUCGAGAGUGUCAAUUCUAGUCAAAAACUAAAUAAAUAGAAGAAAUCAAAAUUUCUCUAAAAUAUUUAGAAUUAAAAAUUUUAUUUAAAUAAGAAUCUUCUUGACGCUUAAAAAUAUUUCAAAAAAAGAAACUCAAAAUAUGAAAGCUAUUUCGGAUUGUUUGACGCCAUUACUCCAAUAAAACUUUUGCUUUAACAAGGUAAAAUUGAAACGAGUUCCAGAGCGACAAACUCUGAACUGUCUAAUUCAAAUAAUUCAAUAUAUUUUGUUUAUUUAUCGAAGUUAUUAAAUAAAGUAUGGGUAAAUGUUAAAA
Molecule: unclassified non-coding RNA, 3311 nt
Organism: Bradysia coprophila
Lineage: Eukaryota; Metazoa; Arthropoda; Insecta; Diptera; Sciaridae
Source: RefSeq, a predicted model, not a curated record